AGGGUUUUGCACAAGAGUUUUCAUGAUUUGAAUGGCAAACAAGUUGAAGUGAAACCGGCCCUUCCUAAAGAUGCCAAUCCUGGUGGGGCUAGCCGGUCUAUGGGUGGUGGUGCCGGUGGUUUUGGAGGUUACCAGGGAUAUGGUUCUUCUGGUGGGAAUUCAAGUUCUUAUGAUGGUCGUAUGGACUCCAAUUACAUGCGUGCCCAGGGCACUGGAGCUGGCUUUCCACCUUAUGGUUCAUCAGGAUAUGCACCUGGUUAUGGUUAUGGUCCUGCUAGUAAUGGUGUUGGUUAUGGUAGUUAUGGCAAUUAUGGUGGUGCAGGUGCUGGUUAUGGUGCCCCUGCCGGUGCAGCUUAUGGG
Molecule: long non-coding RNA, 360 nt
Filed under: Gossypium barbadense (sea-island cotton)
Lineage: Eukaryota; Viridiplantae; Streptophyta; Magnoliopsida; Malvales; Malvaceae
Description: long non-coding RNA (GBAR_LNC023595)
Source: RNAcentral